Molecule: long non-coding RNA, 1413 nt
Filed under: Homo sapiens (human)
Lineage: Eukaryota; Metazoa; Chordata; Mammalia; Primates; Hominidae
Description: HSALNT0227239
Source: RNAcentral
CUGGAGCGUAGUGAUGCCAUCUUGGCUUACUCUGCAGCCACCGCCUCCCAGGUUCGAGUGAUUCUCCCGCGCCAGCCACCCGAGUAGCUGGGAUUGCAGGUGCCUGCCACCAUGGCCAGCUGAUGUUUUUAUUUUUAGUAGAGACAGGAUUUCACUAUGUUAGCCAGGCUGGUCUCAAACUCCUGGCCUCAAGUGAUCUGCAUACCUCGGCCUCCCAAAGUCCUGGGAUUACAAGCAUGAGCCACCGUGCCCGGCCUUAUUUAAUCAUAGAGGACAAGAAGCCUUCAUCAAUCUCUUAUUCUAUCCACCCUCCUUUUUUUGAUUCCAAGCGCCUUGUCUGGCCUGUAGUUGCCACUCUUUAAACACUGAACUAAAAGUGUAUCAUUCACAAAGAGACCCCCAGGAUCUGCUGCUCACCUCCAAGCUCUGCCCACAUGGACACUUUGACGCGUAUCGAAGUGACCAUGUGCUAACCUUGCCCUUGUCUCUACUACAGUUCUUAUCUCAGAUUGUUGACCUGCUGUGGCUUCAGGGCAACGUGAACUAAGUCAGUGAUUUAUGUGAGAAAUCAUGCAGUUGGAAGAGCGUGAAAUUUGGAAUUGAGAUAGUGGAGUUCUCAUCCUGCCUCAUCCUCUGUGCAUGCCCCUGGACCAGGAUCUUCUAGAUUUCAUGCCUCUUUCUCUCUAAGUGUCAAAGAAGGGAUUAAACUAGACAAACACUUCUCCAUCCAAAACCAUUCUCCCAGAGUCAUGCUGCUUUUUUUCAGAGCACGUUGCACCUUUGUGAUUAUAUUAAUAUCAUCAUCUGUGUGACAUUGUGAUCCACAUCUGUCUCCUUCAGAGGGCUUGGGCCUAUGGAGAACAGGGGCUUGUCUUGCUUAUGCUGUGUGAUUUUACGUGCUUAUAUUUACUGAGUACCACACAUAUGUCCAAUACAUAAGUACUCAUUUAAGUCUCGUAACAACCCCUGAGUAGGACUCUUGUUUUCCUGACGAUGCAUGUGGGGAAGUUCCACAAAGACAUGCCUACUUGCUGGUAUAAUUAAGACGCGAACUCAAGGAGACUAUUUAUCAUCAUCAUCAUCAUCAUCAUCAUCAUCAUCAUCAUCAUCAUUUGAGAUGGCAUCUUUUCUCUAUUGCCCAGGCUGGAGUGUAGUGGUAUGAUCUCAGCUCACUAUAGCCUCUGCCUCCCAGGUUCAAGCAAUUCUCCUGCCUCAGCCUCCCAGCUAGCUAGGAUUACAGGCAUGCACCACCAUGCCCAGCUAAUUUUUUUACUGUUAGUAGAGACUGGAUUUCACUAUGUUGGCCAGGCUGAUCUCAAACUGCUGACCUCAAGUUCUCCACCCUCUUCGGCCUCUGCAAGUGCUGGGAUUACAGGCAUGAGCCAUAGCACCUGGUAGAUGUAUGUAUGUGUG